AUGGCCGAAGCAAUUGUAGGUUUACUGAUCGUCAAGCUGGGUGCGGCCUUGGCGAACGAGGCAGCAACCUUCGACACAUCGCUGCUUUGCAGUGAAGCCUCGGCCCUCAAGGGUCUGCUCGGUCAGAUCAGUGAAGCCAAGUAUGAGCUUGAAAGUAUGCAGGCAUAUCUGAAAGGUGCAGAGCGGUUCAAGGACGCCGAUGAUAGAACUGGCCUCUUUGUCGAGAGGAUCAGGGGCUUCGCUUUCGAGAUCGAAGAUGUGGUCGACGAGUUCACCUAUAAGUUGGAGGAGAAGCAUGGAGGGUUUGUUGCCAAGAUGAAGAAGAGGAUCAAGCAUGUCAAGACCUGGCGUCGACUUGCGCACACGUUUAAAGAUAUCAAUGACAGACUUCAAGGUGCUAUACAAAGGAAGGAGCACUACGCCAUGCCAGAAAUUGGCAGAAAUGAUGGCCACAGGGCUCAUCGAGUUUUCAAUUUCUCAAGGGACGAGGACCAUGUAGGGAUCUUUGAGCACAAGAAGCAAUUGAUGCAAUGGCUGACAGACUUGCUGAAGAGGAUUGCUAGAGAAUUUGGCAUGCCAAUUGAUGCACCUAAAAUGGAGAUUAGAAUCCUGGCUGAGACCAUCUACGAGUACCUCCAAGGUAAAAGAUACAUCUUAGUUCUAGAUGAUGUUUGGACUACUAAUGUUUCGUUGGAGAUAUGGACUGUCUUUCCAUCUGGUGGACAAUUUGUUAUCACAUCAAGAAAGCAUGAAGUAUCAUUAUUGGCAACUAAUAUGUCUUCAGUUCAUUUGGAACCACUUGACAAAUCGAACUCUUGGGAGUUAUUCUACAAAUCAGCCUUUUGGAAUGAUCCUGAUAGAAAGUGUCCACUCGAGUUAUAG
This 882-nucleotide ribosomal RNA is filed under the name Triticum aestivum (bread wheat). RNAcentral's name for it is "partial small subunit ribosomal RNA". Lineage: Eukaryota; Viridiplantae; Streptophyta; Magnoliopsida; Poales; Poaceae. The record is from RNAcentral.